Molecule: unclassified non-coding RNA, 147 nt
Filed under: soil metagenome
Description: partial internal transcribed spacer 1
Source: RNAcentral
CCGAGUUUACAACUCCCAAACCCCUGUGAACAUACCACUUGUUGCUUCGGCGGAUCAGCCCGCUCCCGGUAAAACGGGACGGCCCGCCAGAGGACCCCUAAACUCUGUUUCUAUAUGUAACUUCUGAGUAAAACCAUAAAUAAAUCA